This 497-nucleotide ribosomal RNA is filed under the name uncultured bacterium. RNAcentral describes it as "partial 16S ribosomal RNA". It matches the Rfam family "Bacterial small subunit ribosomal RNA", at positions 28 to 507 of the family's 1533-position model. The record is from RNAcentral.
GAUGAACGCUGGCGGCGUGCCUAAUACAUGCAAGUCGAGCGAACGGACGAGAAGCUUGCUUCUCUGAUGUUAGCGGCGGACGGGUGAGUAACACGUGGAUAACCUACCUAUAAGACUGGGAUAACUUCGGGAAACCGGAGCUAAUACCGGAUGAUAUUUUGAACCGCAUGGUUCAAAAGUGAAAGACGGUCUUGCUGUCACUUAUAGAUGGAUCCGCGCUGCAUUAGCUAGUUGGUAAGGUAACGGCUUACCAAGGCAACGAUGCAUAGCCGACCUGAGAGGGUGAUCGGCCACACUGGAACUGAGACACGGUCCAGACUCCUACGGGAGGCAGCAGUAGGGAAUCUUCCGCAAUGGGCGAAAGCCUGACGGAGCAACGCCGCGUGAGUGAUGAAGGUCUUCGGAUCGUAAAACUCUGUUAUUAGGGAAGAACAUAGGUGUAAGUAACUGUGCACAUCUUGACGGUACCUAAUCAGAAAGCCACGGCUAACUACGUG